CGACGACCAGAGGCCACGCCUCUGUCACUGAAGCCAACGGCCAGAGGCCACGCCUCCGUCACUGAAACCGACAGCCGGAGGCCACGCCUCCGUCACUGAAACCGACAGCCGGAGGCCACGCCUCCGUCUCGGAAGCCGACGGCCAGAGGCCACGCCUCCGUCACUGAAACCGACGGCCAGAGGCCACGCCUCCGUCACUGAAGCCGACGGCCAGAGGCCACGCCUCCGUCACUGAAGCCGACGGCCAGAGGCCACGCCUCCUUCACUGAAACCGACGCCUAAAGGCCACAUCUGAGAUGUUUUACACAAUGCCCAUCAACAUGGGAAAGUGUUUAAGGAGGGAAAAACCCAGCUAGAAGAAGAUACCCUAUGCCCAGGCAAGCUGGGUGUUAUAUACACUUCCAAUUUGUUCUUCCCCGCAGAUAAUAGCAGUGUUUAAUUUAGACAAAAGCAGUAUCAGGUAUCGCAGGGGAUGGUGGGGAAAACCCGGCAUCAG
Molecule: long non-coding RNA, 496 nt
Organism: Ictalurus punctatus (channel catfish)
Lineage: Eukaryota; Metazoa; Chordata; Actinopteri; Siluriformes; Ictaluridae
Source: Ensembl